Molecule: ribosomal RNA, 407 nt
Filed under: uncultured bacterium
Lineage: Bacteria
Description: partial 16S ribosomal RNA
Rfam family: Bacterial small subunit ribosomal RNA
Source: RNAcentral
AAUAUUGCGCAAUGGAGGAAACUCUGACGCAGCGACGCCGCGUGAGCGAUGAAGGNUUNNGGAUCNUNAAGCUCUGUCCUUGGNNNNNAAGGUCUUCGGCCUUUACGGUACCCAAGCAGAAAGCUCCGGCUAACUACGUGCCAGCCGCCGCGGUGAUACGUAGGGGGCAAGCGUUGUCCGGAAUUAUUGGGCGUAAAGGGUGCGUAGGCGGCCUUUUAAGUCAGAUGUGAAAGCCCACGGCUUAACCGUGGGAUUGCAUUUGAAACUGGAAGGCCUGAGUAUCGGAGAGGGUAGUGGAAUUCCCAGUGUAGCGGUGAAAUGCGUAGAUAUUGGGAGGAACACCAGUGGCGAAGGCGACUACCUGGACGAAAACUGACGCUGAGGCACGAAAGCUAGGGGAGCAAACA